ACACUGUGAGGGUGUGUGCAUUUAGGGCACUAUUUCACUAUUUGAAAUUAUACAGUGUGUUGCUGUUCAAUGGAGCCUACAUCAAAACUGGCAGAAACAAUAAGGAAUGGGAGUUUGACAGCAAUGUCAUGUUUAGUUAAUGUACAUUUGUGUAACAUUAUAGUUAUAACUAUAGUCCUUGAAUGUUUCCUAAUAUUCCUCCUUUCCCUGGUCUUUCUCAGAUGAAGCUGCCGGUCUUGGUGGUCGUCUCACUGCUGCACCUGGGACAGUCCUGUGCCCAGGCUGCAGACCCCUUCCACGCAGCCUCCGGGACAUACUGUAGUGAGGAAGAGCUCCCUGAGACGGAAGGCUCAACUUGCAGUGGCUGAGCUUGAAUGGUUCUCUCCUCACUGUAGCUGUAGGCAUCUACAACAGCUACACCGAACACACAGACUACAUCUGCAAAUAUAACUGCGAAGCCGGCUUCUACACAAGGGGCCUUACUACCAAUACCCCUACGGUGACAGAGAGUACUACGUUCCAGAUCCUGACCCCCCCACCCGAGACCAUGCGCAUUUCCGUUAUCACCAACAACGAGUGCCAGAUGGUGACCAUCUCCAAAACGUCGGAGGUGAAGAGCACCUGGAACAUCGGACGAACCACCAUUCUGGGCAUCACCACCGGCAUCACAGCCAAGAUACCCCCUGACUGGCUCCGGAAGGGUGGAGUUCAGUGCGGAGAAAACCCUACAGUUCAACAGGGGCACCACUAUGGUGGAGCUCAACAUAACACCCAAACACUCCUGUAACGUGUACAUGGAAGGCCGCAAGUUCACAUGUGACACAUGUGACACAUGUAGCACAUUUUACACAAGUAUUGUACAGUUUGUGGUUCCUGGCCAGGUGUAAACAAUGGAAAAUGACUGUGAUUAUUGUGUUCAAUUUUUUUUCACAAUUUAUGUCUAAUGAAUUAAAUGACAGAAAAUACAGAACGUACCUGUUUUGAAAUGUAUGCUCUCAAAAAAUAAAUGUGUACAUAUAUUGCA
Molecule: long non-coding RNA, 1024 nt
Organism: Oncorhynchus masou masou (cherry salmon)
Lineage: Eukaryota; Metazoa; Chordata; Actinopteri; Salmoniformes; Salmonidae
Exons: 2
Source: RefSeq, a predicted model, not a curated record